GUAACUUCUGAAUAUCAACAUAAAUUUGUCCCAGUAUGGGUUUGCACUGAAAUUAAACUUUUCAGGUCAGUUAUGGACUACCUUUUGGUCUGUACUAGUGUGGUGGGCAGAGGUUUAACCAUGACUAGUCUGGGUCCCAAGGAGCAGUGUUUCAGGGGAAACUGAAGUGGGGUCUGCUUCUGAACCAGGUUUUUUACCUUUUUUUGACCUUUGUGUUGCCCCAGAAGUAUGCUACCAGAUACCAUACUUAACUACUGUAAAGCCAUCUAGGGUUUCUGUCUGUGACACCGCUGCAGGCAGAUCUGUCUGCAGUGAGUAUCCACAGACAAAAAACAUGUAGAUUUUUCUGUGAAAGAAAUAAAAGUCCACCAUGUAGAUUGGUUUUACCAGGUAGGAUUAAAAAGAGCACCACCAAACGGAGAGGCUUUGAUGCAAACACCCCUGGUCUGUUUUUCAGUAUGUGUGAAUCAAAGUGAAUCAAAGUGGGCAAAGGCGUUUCUCUAGGGCAUUGUCCCCAACCCAUGAGGAGCCAUGACCCCAUCCCUUGGUGUCCCUGUCAUUGUUCUGGGUCUUUUCUGACUGCAAGACUGGAUGUAGCUGGCAGAGAACAGUCUUAGCAAACUGGCUAGUUUUUUUCCAUUCGCUGCAGAAGUAAAUACAGGCUUUUCCUUUUUCUGGUCCUGUUAAGGGCUUUCCAGUUAUUGCAAGUGUACCUGUCAUGUCCUUUCAAACCAGUUCUUGCUGUGAGGCACCAGUCUGUGCUAUACACUGAUGUCUAUAAGGGGAUUUGCAACUGCAAUCUCAUUUGUUCAGACAAAUUGCUUGGCUUUUCCAUUCGAUUGGAAAGGCCACUUCCAAUAGAGAGUUAGCUUUACUGACAUUCACACCUGCCCAGCCACAGCUCCUUAGGAAAUUUAUGUUAAGAUAAGGAUCUUUCCUUCUAUUUUCCUCUCUUAGAGGAUUUUCUAAGAAGCUAUUCACCUAGCUACUCUUUUCUAAAUCUAUCAAGAAGACAAAAAAGAGGUUGAUAUUUAAAGAAAACAAACAAAACACUCAAACCAAAGCAAAACAAUUACAACCUCACAACAAUUAAAACCUCACAAAACAAACUAAAAAAGCCACAAGAAAAACACAGAGCACGAGGAUAUUAAACUAUGCUGCUGUCUUCUGCAGUAUAUGAAAAUCCAACACAUUAAUAGCUGCCAGCUUUUCAAUAAGAGCCUCCAUGAAAUGUUCCCUUUUGUCUGUGAUAAAAUUCUGAUAACCAAAACUGUAUGUGAGAGACUCAGGAAUCUGUUAAUUUUUCCUGUUUAAAUAAAGCCGUGUUUGUAAUUCAAAAGUAUUGAGAGAACCAAUGAGCUUUGCAAACAAUAUUGUUACUAAGUGCACUUACUGUAAAUGUUUAGAGGUUGUAUCUAGUACAAUAAAGUAUAUGGCAU
RNAcentral lists this long non-coding RNA (1439 nucleotides) under Taeniopygia guttata (zebra finch). Its description in RNAcentral is "lncRNA (ENSTGUG00000019621.1)". The record is from RNAcentral. Lineage: Eukaryota; Metazoa; Chordata; Aves; Passeriformes; Estrildidae.